Molecule: non-coding RNA, 120 nt
Organism: Colletotrichum orbiculare MAFF 240422
Lineage: Eukaryota; Fungi; Ascomycota; Sordariomycetes; Glomerellales; Glomerellaceae
Source: Rfam
ACAUACGACCAUACCCACUGGAGAACUCGGGAUCCCGUCCGCUCUCCCAUAGAUAAGCCAGUGAGGGCCGGAUUCGUAGUUGGGUCGGUGACGACCAGCGAACACCUGGUGUUGUAUGUC